ACCAUGAGACUAAUGAGCUGGUGAUGAUGUGGGUGAAUUGAAUUCUCUGAGUUCUUCCUGGAUGAUACUUUCAAGAUAAAGGAUCUUGGAAAUAUUCAUUACCUCCUGGUUUAGAAAUUACUCCUCAUCCACAAGGCUACCUUAUGUGCCAACAAAAGUUCACUUCUGACCUACUAACAGAAUUUCAUUGUGAAAAUUUCACUCAUGUUUCCACCCCUUUGGAUCCUAGGAUGCAAUUGGUUGCUGAUAUGGGAGAUCCCAUCUCUGAUCCUAGUAUCUACAGGAGGUUGGUUGGCAAGAUAAAUUUUCUUCAAAACACUAGGCCUGGCAUUUUUUUUUUUUCUGUUCAACAUCUCAGUCAAUUCUUACAAGCUCCACAUAGUGCUUAUAUGCUAACAGUUCUUCAUGUGUUGAGAUAUCUCAUGAAUGCUCCUGACCAGGGUAUUCUUCUAUCUGCUAGUUCUGAUUUAUCCCUUUUAGCAUACUCAGAUUCAGAUUGGGCUACUUGUGCUAUCUCUCGAAGAUCUAUAUAAGGUUUUUACAUCUCUCUUGGGGGCAAUCCUAUUUCCUGGAAGAGUAAGAAGCAGCCUACUGUAGCACUUUCAUCUGCUGAAGCUGAACAUAUGACAUUGAGAAUGGCUGUAACUGAGAUUUCUUGGCUUGUGCGAUUGCUUGGUGAUCUUGGGUUAACUAUCUCUGGGCCUGUAUCUCUUUUCUAUGACAACCAGGCAGCCUUACAUAUUGCCAAGAACACUGUAUUUCAUGAACGCACGAAGCAUAUUGAAGUUGAUUGUCCUUUUUUUCGUGAUAGUUUUAAUUCAGGGCUGAUUUCACUGUUUUAUGUCUGCAGUCUGCUCAGCUUGCCUACAUGUUGACCAAGCAUCUCCUGGUCCUCUACAUCAUCACUUUUUGUGCAAGCUUCGAGUAUUCACACCCUCCAGCUCGAGGGAGGGUGUUGACGGUAUUGAGCCUCAGCCACCUUAGCAUUUAGUUUAAAGACUUAUCCGGCCCAUUUGUAUAGUGACUGGAGAUUCCAACAAUAAGAAAAUAAAAGAACUCAUUUUCUUCUUCAUAUAUUUUCUACGCUUCUCUUUCUCUCUUUUCUCUCUCUUUUCUCUCAGAAUAGGUCUUAUAUUUUUCUCAAUUUCUUCUCAAUAAUGGAUUAACAC
Molecule: long non-coding RNA, 1169 nt
Filed under: Nicotiana benthamiana
Lineage: Eukaryota; Viridiplantae; Streptophyta; Magnoliopsida; Solanales; Solanaceae
Description: long non-coding RNA (NBEN_LNC004043)
Source: RNAcentral